Molecule: ribosomal RNA, 429 nt
Filed under: uncultured bacterium
Lineage: Bacteria
Description: bacterial SSU rRNA
Rfam family: Bacterial small subunit ribosomal RNA
Source: RNAcentral
UGGGGAAUUUUGGACAAUGGGGGCAACCCUGAUCCAGCCAUGCCGCGUGAGUGAAGAAGGCCUUCGGGUUGUAAAGCUCUUUUGUCUGGGAAGAAAAGGCGUCGGAUAACACCUGGCGUUCUUGACGGUACCGGAAGAAUAAGCACCGGCUAACUACGUGCCAGCAGCCGCGGUAAUACGUAGGGUGCGAGCGUUAAUCGGAAUUACUGGGCGUAAAGCGUGCGCAGGCGGUUCGUGAAGUCCGAUGUGAAAGCCCUGGGCUCAACCUGGGAACUGCAUUGGAAACUGGCGGGCUAGAGUGUGGCAGAGGGGGGUGGAAUUCCUGGUGUAGCAGUGAAAUGCGUAGAGAUCAGGAGGAACACCGAUGGCGAAGGCAGCCCCCUGGGCUAACACUGACGCUCAGGCACGAAAGCGUGGGGAGCAAACAGG